GACGAACGCUGGCGGCGUGCUUAACACAUGCAAGUCGAACGCUGAAGCUUGGUGCUUGCACUGGGUGGAUGAGUGGCGAACGGGUGAGUAAUACGUGAGUAACCUGCCCUUGACUCUGGGAUAAGCCUGGGAAACUGGGUCUAAUAUUGGAUACGACAUGUCACCGCAUGGUGGUGUGUGGAAAGGGUUUUACUGGUUUUGGAUGGGCUCACGGCCUAUCAGCUUGUUGGUGGGGUAAUGGCUCACCAAGGCGACGACGGGUAGCCGGCCUGAGAGGGUGACCGGCCACACUGGGACUGAGACACGGCCCAGACUCCUACGGGAGGCAGCAGUGGGGAAUAUUGCACAAUGGGCGGAAGCCUGAUGCAGCGACGCCGCGUGAGGGAUGACGGCCUUCGGGUUGUAAACCUCUUUCAGCACGGAAGAAGCGAAAGUGACGGUACGUGCAGAAGAAGCGCCGGCUAACUACGUG
RNAcentral lists this ribosomal RNA (472 nucleotides) under uncultured bacterium. RNAcentral describes it as "partial 16S ribosomal RNA". It matches the Rfam family "Bacterial small subunit ribosomal RNA", at positions 28 to 507 of the family's 1533-position model. The record is from RNAcentral.